UAAGUUCUUCCCCCGUCUUCCUAGGACAGAGAGGGAGACACCUUUACAGAUGGAGAUUUCCUUUACAGACGUAAAUGUCUCUUACAAAAGGCUUCCUGAGUGUCCUUAUGAUACGGCAGCUGGCUGCCCUAGCGUGAGUGAUGAGAGAGAGAGGAAGAGACAGAGAACUCACCUGCGACAGAAACCAUCGUCUUUUUAGAACCUGACCUUGGAUGUGACAUCUCACCACUUCCGCCAUAUUCUAUUCAUCAGAAGUGGGUCGGCAAGUCCAUCCACACUCAAGGUGAGGGGAAUUAAGCUCCACCUCUGGAAGGGAGGCGUAUUGCAGAAUUUGUAGACAUAUCUUUGAAGCCACUACAGUCCACCCUGGUGACAAAUUAUAUUCCUCCUAUGAGCAAAAUACACUCAUGUACUCCUCAAGGGCCCUCAAGAGACUUAUUCAUCACUGCACCAGCUUGAAGUCCAGAAUCUUGUCAUCUAAGUCCGGUCCAGGAGAGGAGAGCUCCUCACGUGCAGAUCCUUAAGAUCAGCUCGUUGAGUUUAGUUCUUUUUUUUUUUUUUUUUGAGGAAGACUAGCCCUGAGCUAAUUGCUGCCAAUCCUCCUCUUUUUGCUGAGGAAGACUGGCCCUGAGCUAACGUCCGUGCCCAUCUUCCUCUGCUUUAUAUGUGGGAUGCCUACCACAGCAUGGCGUGCCAAGUGGUGCCAUGUCUGCACCUGGAUCCAAACUGGUGAACCCCGGGCCGCCGAGAAGUAGAACAUGUGAACUCAACCGCUGUGCCACCGGGCGGCCCCAGUUUAGUUCUUGUGAACUGUAAAAUUGAAGAAAUGGGUUAUUGCCCCCCUCCCCCCCCACAUAAAUGAUGCACAGGCGUCGGAUAACUGCUCCAGAUAUUCCUGUUCAGAAAGAGGGAAAACAGGAGGGCUGAAGGAUUCAGUGGUCCACGGCAGUUCUAAAAUCCAGUCAGGCGGGCCAGCCCCAUGGCACAGUGGUUAAGUACGCACAUAUAAAGUAGAGGAAGAUGGGCAUGGAUGUUAGCUCAGGGCCAGUCUUCCUCAGCAAAAAGAGGAAGAUUGGCAGCAGAUGUUAGCUUAGGGCUAAUCUUCCUCAAAAAAAUAAAAAAUGAAAAAUAAAAUAAAAUAAAAUCCAGUCAGGCAAAUGGCAGUUCAGUUGCAAGUUCCUUGACGAGGUCUCAGCCUGGGAGUAACCUCUGUGGUUCUUGACUCCCCUCUCUGAACCCUUGGUUCUGCCCUCUUCAUCAACCUUCCCUUUUCACAAAAGGUAAUGUGUAUGUGCUCUAUUUUCCUAACCCAAACUCAUAAAGAAUUCUCCUAUGUUUUCUUCUAAAAGCCUAAUAGUUUUAUGUUUCACCUUUUAGUUUUUGAUCCAUUUCAAGGUAAUUUGUGUAUAAAGUGUGAGGUAUAGAGCUUCAGAUUUUUUGCAUAGAAAUGUUCAACUUCUCCAGCACUGGAGGAUGG
This 1477-nucleotide long non-coding RNA is filed under the name Equus caballus (horse). Its description in RNAcentral is "lncRNA (ENSECAG00000053831.1)". Lineage: Eukaryota; Metazoa; Chordata; Mammalia; Perissodactyla; Equidae. The record is from RNAcentral.